CCUCAGCUGCCCGANGAGGAUUCGGGGCGGAGAGCUGGCCACCAGCGACCUGGGCGUAGUUGCCCCUUNGCUUUUUGGAGUUUGGUGGCUCCUGUGGCGUGAUUUGGUUGCUUUUACGUUUGGCUGCCGGGGUUGCCGUCUUUCCGCUGCCAGUCCUAACGGUUGGAUUCGCCGUGCCGAAUAUGCCUUGCGACUUAAGCCCCUGCACCACGGCAAGAUGCCUACCAUUCGCAGGAGCUUACAGAAGUACGUAGGAUUUUUUUUUUAUCUUGCAUAGUUUGUUUUUUAUUAACAAAUUUCAAGCAAUUUUUUGGGUCAAAUUGUUACUUGUCCCUUUAAAGGCCCGCCAUUUUGUCAAAAAUUCUGUAGCUAUUGCUAUUUACAAGCAGAAACCGUUGAACAACUUAUUAAAAUAAAAAAAUUACAAGAGCUGUGUGUCCGGCCGUGAUUCCCGAAAAAACGGAGACAUCCUAGGGAGAACGCUGUGUAGCCGCCAUUUUUCAAUUAAUUUUUCUUCAAAAAUNGUUAUAAGCUGUUAAUUAUAUGUAUAAUAAAUCCCUGUUGUUAAAAACCAGAUUUAUUUAAUAGUUUUCGCGAAAUAAAAUCUAAAACAAAAAGCCUAUUUUAUGACCCUCUAGAGUGGCCUAACCCCUUAAGCAAUACCAACAGCUCGGGAAGGAAGGAAACUCUGAAAGUUUUCGACACAGUACCCGCUGGUGGAAGCAGAGGACGUGAGAGAUGUACACUCCGUUGGAAAGACCAGUUGGAGAAGGUUCUGGCUGCACUUGUAAUCUCCAAUUGNCCCCAGCNCUAAAAAAGGAAGAACGAUCGUCGCGUAUUGUAAUCUCGGCUAUAACCGCUAUCUAUGCUUACGACCAUCUAUCAACCGUGUUAAAGAAUUUAAAAUUCAAGGUUGUAAUGGCAGUGUUCUUCGAUUAUCUCUGUGGUGCAUUCCGAACUUCUUUCNACCAGACAAACUGUCAACAAAGAUUUGUGUACGCGAAGCUGUUCCUAAAGUGCUCACUGAUGACCAGAACUUGCGCCUUUCCUUCGAACAGCUACCUAACCAAGGCCGAUAUCCCAACGUUUCCGUACCCACCCUACAGCGCAGAUGUGUCCCUGGACAUAUUUUACUUCCUUGCCCGAAAAGACUGAAGCAAGGCACGCAUUUUAAGACGACAAAGGGUACCCAAGCAGCAUGCACCUCGGCUCUCAAGGCUAUUCCUGAGAAUGCCUUCCGUGAUGCCUUCAAUGCUUGCAAAUCGCCCUGGCAAUGCUGCAUCGACGCAUAAGGAGCCCGUUUUGAAAGUUUUUAAAGAAUUAUAACUAUUGGUUCAAUAAAUUUUUUGACAUCGACUCACUGUUACUUUCCGGACAAACCCUGUAUGACCAAAGUAUUACUAAAUUUUGCUCAUAGUGAUAUUUUUCGGCUCGAACUAAUAUGGAUUUGAAGGAUAUUAAAAGUGAUACCAAGAGUUCACAAUUAAAAAAUAGUUCGUCAUUUAUGAUGAAUAUUUUUCGUGGAAAAAUGCUUUCAGCGGAAGUUUUCCCAUACCCUGACGUCUUGGAGNCAGAUGAAAAAGAACUAAUUUUGAGUUUGGUUGAUCCA
This 1609-nucleotide long non-coding RNA is filed under the name Bactrocera latifrons. RNAcentral describes it as "uncharacterized LOC108968515". Lineage: Eukaryota; Metazoa; Arthropoda; Insecta; Diptera; Tephritidae. The record is from RNAcentral.